Long non-coding RNA from Oncorhynchus keta (chum salmon), 1104 nucleotides. RefSeq lists it as uncharacterized. NCBI's taxonomy places the organism in Eukaryota, Metazoa, Chordata, Actinopteri, Salmoniformes, Salmonidae. The record is from RefSeq and is a predicted model, not a curated record. The transcript is spliced from 3 exons.
CCUGGGUCUGUACAUAGUCAAUGGUAGGCUUGGAGGGGACUCCUAUGGUCAGUACACCUAUAGCUCUGUUACAUCCUGGGUCUGUACAUAGUCAAUGGUAGGCUUGGAGGGGACUCCUAUGGUCAGUACACCUAUAGCUCUGUUACAUCCUGGGUCUGUACAUAGUCAAUGGUAGGCUUGGAGGGGACUCCUAUGGUAGGUACACCUAUAGCUCUGUUACAUCCUGGGUCUGUAUAUAGUCAAUGGUAGGCUUGGAGGGGACUCCUAUGGUCAGUACCCCUAUAGCUCUGUUACAUCCUGGGUCUGUACAUAGUCAAUGGUAGGCUUGGAGGGGACUCCUACUCCUAUACUCCUAUAGCUCUGUUACAUCCUGGGUCUGUACAUAGUCAAUGGUAGGCUUGGAGGGGACUCCUAUGGUCAGUACACCUAUAGCUCUGUUACAUCCUGGGUCUGUACAUAGUCAAUGGUAGGCUUGGAGGGGACUCCUAUGGUCAGUACACCUAUAGCUCUGUUACAUCCUGGGUCUGUACAUAGUCAAUGGUAGGCUUGGAGGGGACUCCUAUGGUCAGUACACCUAUAGCUCUGUUACAUCCUGGGUCUGUACAUAGUCAAUGGUAGGCUUGGAGGGGACUCCUAUGGUCAGUACACCUAUAGCUCUGUUACAUCCUGGGUCUGUACAUAGUCAAUGGUAGGCUUGGAGGGGACUCCUAUGGUCAGUACACCUAUAGCUCUGUUACAUCCUGGGUCUGUACAUAGUCAAUGGUAGGCUUGGAGGGGACUCCUAUGGUAGGUACACCUAUAGCUCUGUUACAUCCUGGGUCUGUAUAUAGUCAAUGGGCUUGGAGGGGACUCCUACGGUAGGUACACCUAUAGCUCUGUUACAUCCUGGGUCUGUACAUAGUCAAUGGUAGGCUUGGAGGGGACUCCUAUGGUCAGUACACCUAUAGCUCUGUUACAUCCUGGGUAUGUACAUAGUCAAUGGUAGGCUUGGAGGGGACUCCUAUGGUCAGUACACCUAUAGCUCUGUUACAUCCUGGGUCUGUACAUAGUCAAUGGUAGGCUUCGAGGGGACUCCUAUGGUCAGUACACCUAUAGCUCUGUUAC